UGUGAUCCGCCUGCCUUGGCCUCCCAAAGUGCUGGGAUUACAGACGUGAGCCACUGUGCCCCGGCCAUACACAACUCAUAAUGGAUUAAGGUCCACCUAAUGACCUCACUUAACCUUAAUUACCUCUUUAAAGACCCUGUCAGAAAAUAUAGUUACAUCUGAAGUACCCGGGGUUAGGAUUUCAACAUACUGGAGGUGGGAGGAGCACAAUUCAGCGCAUAACAGAAGCUAACACAGAAAAAAACACAGAGAUGGGGUAAGAGACUGAGGCUUGACUUUGUUUGAGCUCCUGGAUCCAGCUGUGCCUGAAGUUGAAACUAAUACUAUCCAGGACUCUUGAGUUUCAUGAUCCAAUAAGUACCUAAAUCCCACCUCUCCUUUUUUUUCCCCUCUUGAACCUAGUUGAGUUGGAUUUCUGUCACUUACAGUUAAAAUUCCUGAGUAAUACACAGGAGAACUAGUUAACAAAUUAUUAAAAUAGCCCACCCCUAAUUUAAUCACCAUGUGCAAGGACAGUGCUUGUAUGUACACCCAGGUAUGUCUAAUUCUAAUAGCUAGAGGUAGCAAAUAUGGUAAAAAUUGAGCCAAGUUUGCACUAGCCUCUUCCAUUAAGCAGGAAUUCCCACCUUAGCUCUGAAGCCAUGUAGGACAGGGCUGGAGAAACUACUAUUCCUACCAAUGUUUCUAAUGUGUGCAGUAGGCUGGGGUGCUGGCAGGGGAAAAUUAAAAAUGUAGUUUGGGUUAAAAAAAAAAGAAAAAGAGCUUUCUAGGCCAGGCGCAGUGGCUCACGCCUGUAAUCCCAGCAUGUUGGGAGGCUGGGGCGGGUGGAUAGCUUGAAUCCAGGAGUUUGAGACCAGCCUGCGCAACGUGGUGAAACCCCGUCUCUACAGAAAAUACAAAAAUUAGCCAGGAGAGUCGCUGUGUGUCUGCAAUCCCAGCUACUUGGGAGGCUGAGGUGGGAGGAUUGCUUGAACCCAGGAGGCGAUGGUUGCAGUGAGCCGAGAUGGCGCCACUGUACUCCAGCCUGGGUGACAGAGUGAGACCCUGUCUCAAAAUCAAUCAGUCAAUCAAUCAAUCAAACAAACAAACAAACAAAAAACAGCUUUCCAGAAGGGAAAAAUCAUUUUGGGAAGCUUUGAGUAGGGGCUGUGGAGAGUGGGCUCCAGACGUCACUUCAUUGGUUGGCAGGUGCUGUUAGGGGGUGCCCAGAGGGGAGCUCGGGGGAGCGGCGGCUUUCUUCCAGCAGAUAUGGACUCGGGCAGGAGCCACUGAGCAAGUACUCCGAUGGGCUGGGCUUCCUGAGGCUUCAUGCCUGGGCUGAGCAGGGCGGGGCUGUGGUCCACGUGGUGCCCAUUGGCCUCCCAAAAGGAAGGAGCGGGGAGAACUAGAAAUGUGGCUGGAAAAAGUCAGCAUCUCCCUCCUGGGCGGGCUCCCUGGUGGUCCCGGGAGCUGGCCAUGUCUGGAGGAGGAGGCUCCUCUAAGGUGUGCAGCUGCCUUUCUCAAUGCCGCUGAGUUGGAUUGGGAUCUCUUUCAAUGAGAGUGUUUUGAGGGACCCUCAGCUCCAUGCUCUGCUGGCUUCCUCCAGGGAUGCUGAGAGGUGGCCCUUCUAGUGGUAAGAUGAGGGGCCCAUGGCCUUGUGGAGUCAGACACACUGGCAUUCACUGAAAGCUCUGUGCCUGACCUACCUGGUGACUUGGGGCAAGUGACUUCACCUGACUGAGCCUCUUUCCUUCAUCACUGGCAAAAUGGAACCAACUUCACAGCCUUCUCCUGAGGCUUAAGUGAAACCAAGCAGUCAUAAAGGGAUAGGCUUUGGAGUCCCUGGGUUUGCAUCCCAGUUUACUAACUGAGCUGGGUGGCCUUGGGCAAGUCACUCACCCUCUCUGAGCCUCAGUGUCCUACUCUGUAAAAUGAACCCACCAAUGGUACUUAUUUCCUAGGGCAAAUGUGAGGAUUGACAGAUAAAACAUGUAAACUUCAUGAAAGCAAGGGGUUUUGUUAUUGAUUUAUCCCCUCUGCAGUUCCUGGGACAUAAAGACACUAAAUAAAUGGGAUCAGCUUUUAUUGUUAUUAUGAUUCACCGUCACCCAGCACUGGUUGAGGCUGCUCUCUGUGGCAUCCUGUAGACACACUUGUAUGUGAGUUUCUGGUCAGGAUGGGGAGGACAAGACCACUGUCUCUGGCACACUUAGCAAACUCUAUCUCCAGGGAUAGAGUAAGACUCCUAUGGUGCAGGAGGGGGCAUGAGGGAAGGCUAGGAGUGCCCUCUGCACUGUUUAAGCACCUCACUUGUGUCAUUUCACUGCACCCAUACCCACGCCCCAUGAACUAGAUUCAUUUAUUACCCCAUUUGACGAUGAGGAGGCUGAGGUUCAUCAAGGUAUAGCCAUUGAGAUCUUACUGCCAGGGAGAGGUAGAGCCAGGGUUCAAACCUGAAUUUGUACUGUUCCAAAUCCCUUUUUUAAAAAUUUUUAUUUUUAUUUUUUUUUUAUUUUCCCAGGCUGGAGUGCAGUGGGCAAUUAAGGCUGACUACAGCCCCCAACUCCUGGGCCCAGACAAUCCUCCCGCUUCAGCCUCCCAAGUAGCUGGGACCACAGACGUGUGCCACAGUGUAGGCCCCUUCUUUUUAAAUAGCGUGGUAUGCAGGAAACAGUGAAGGAGGGAUGGAGGGUCAGAGUCACCGGGUAGAGGGUGCGUUCCUGGGCCGACUGGGGUGGGGCCUCUAGGAAUGAGCCACAAGGGCAGGCCCCACCGCCUUCUCUCAUAUUUGGCAGGUGCUGUGUCCCCUGCUCCGUGCCCCUCAGGAUUCUUUAGGAAGUGGCUCCAUCGACCCACUCUCAGUUGAGCUGAAAGAGGACUCGAGGGACUCUUUAUUGGGAAAAAAUGGAGUGCAAAGCCUACUCCUGCCCCUGCCAGCACCAGCCUUCGGAGGCAAAUAAAAAGCAGUGGGCACUGGGACAGCAGCCCCAGAGGUGCACUAAAAUCCACCUGACAAAUGGCCCCUCUCCCAUGAGCCCACGAACAGCAGAGAGGAAGGUGGCCAGGGCCAAGUAGAAAGAUUUCUACAGCAUGGCCGAGUUCUCCAAGGUCAAGAGCAAGCAGAGCUGCCGCCUGUAUUCCUGAGAACUGGCCUCCUGGGGAUGUGGCCAGCCCUUUUUAAGGGAUUUGGGUCAAGGUGGGGAUUCUGACCCUCACCGCUGUGCUGGGACUGGCCUGGGAACUGGGAAGGAGGAUACACUUGGGAAAACUGCAGUGAAGAAUGCAUAAUAAUGGAAGGAAUCUCAUGGAUGAUUAUCAGGUAGCUCUCAGGAUCAAGAGGAAAGCUGGAGACGGCCUUUCGGCAGGAAGGGGGAAACUGAGGCAGAAGGCAGACCCUGCCCAGUGAUGGUCCCUUUCACAUGUCACUACUGGCACCAUCACUGUGGGACAUAUACUCCCACCAUGGGCACUACAGGCUCUGGGUCUUGCUGUGCUCCCUGGACUGUUGACUGCCUGGAAGCCUCUGGGAGUCACCUCUCGCUCUGUAGCUUCAGGUCUCUCCUCCCAGAGUCAAACUCCCCAUGGGCAGGGCUGCUGGAUAAAAUACAGGAUGCCCAGUGACAUUCUACUUUCAGAUAAUUGAAAAAAAUUUUUUAGUAGAAAAAAGUUAUUUAUCUGAAAUUCAAAUUUAACUGGAUAGCCUGUAUUUUUAUUUGCUAACUUAGCCGCCCCACUCAGAGCGCUGGGCCCUGCUCUGGUGCCUGGUGGGGAGGAACUCUGUCUCUUCCACUUCUGGGGUAAGAAUGUCAAUCUUGUUGGAUUGGAUUGAUUACAUUGUUUGGAUGGAAAAUAGAGGAAAAAGAGCACAUACAACUGCGACUCCUUAAACCUGUCCCCCUAUUUGUUUUUUUUGUUUUUUUUUUUGAGACAGGGUCUCACUCUGUCACCCAGGCUGGAGUGCAGUGUCAUGGUCAGGGUUUGCUGCAGCCUUGAAGUCCUGAGCUCAAGUGAUCCUCCUGCCUCAGCCUCCAGAGUACCUGGGAGUACAGGCGUGCGCCACCACACCCAGCUAAUUUUUGUAAUUUUUUUUUUUUUGUAGAGAUGGGGUUUCACCAUGUUGGCCAGGCUGGUCUCAAACUCCUGGGCUCAGGUGAUCUGCCCUCCUCGGCCUCCCGAAGUGCUGGGAUUACAGGUGUGAGCCACCAUGCCUGCCUGUCCCAUUUCCCCAUUUUAAAAAAGUCACCUGCCCGAUUGGUUUUCAAAGCUGCCUUCACUCAAAGAGGGCCUGGAGGGUAGGAAUGACUCAUACAGUCAUUCAUUGUCUGUGCCCGCUUUUCAUAGCACAAAAGAUAGGUCCUUCCCAUCCCGCCCAUCCUCUCCCUGCUGGUCAUCUUGUAUGCGGAGAAUCCAAGGAUCUUCUUACCAAUGAGUUCUUGCCGCUCAUGAGCAGGUGAAGGAGUGGAGCUGAAGUGGAAAUAAUCUAUGGGCUGGACUGUCUAGACAGCAUUUGCUCCUCUGGAUAGGGAGGAGAGCAGACAGAAGCGGGCUUUGGCCAAACUGAAACUCAAGCCAUCACUGCCAGCCCUUCCUGAGCCAUCUCAGAUGAGCCUUGUCUCUGGGCCACAGCCAGAAUUGGCCUGGGCUGUUUCUCACUCCUAUUUCAAAGGAUUUGUGCUCCUAGCAGAGGAAAAGCUUGAACAUUUACAGUGAAAAAUUUAGUAGAAGGGGGAAGAAACAGAGGGUCUUUCUUUCUUUCUUUCUUUCUUUUUUCUUUCUUCUUUUCCUUCUUUUGUCUUAUCUUUUGGUUUUGGGGCAGUGAAAGAAAAUUAAUUUUUUAGCUAUAAAACUUUGUCUUAAGAUCAGUUUUGGAAAGAAAAGCAUCUACUAAUUGAAAACGUCACUUUUCGGGCCCUUAAGUCAAGGGAAACAGGUGCAAGUUUGUGGUUUUAGACACAGCAUUUCUUUUGGAAAAAAGUAGUAAAAGUACCCCAGAUAAGUUCUCUCCAAAGCUGGAUAGAUUUUUAUUUUUCAGCCCUUUAUUACAUAGAAGGUGACAGAUUAGCUGAAAAGUUAAAAGAAAAAUCAACUCUCACCCUUGUAGGUAACACUCCAAUCUCUCUCUCUCUUUUUUCUUUCCAAGGCUGAAGAGAGGGCAACUGUUUACUGCAAUUUUGAUAAAAUUCCCUUUCAAUACGGCCUGUUCCUGGAUAGAGUCCCACCUUUCAUCUGCUUUUAUUCCUAAUCCUGUGGCAAAGCCUGGACCUCCCUUUUCUUCUCAUACAAGCUCGACAGAGCUGGCAUUUUCCUUCUCCAUUUCAGUGACAUGUUUUUCAGUGUUUUGUCUGUUUGUGAAGGGGCAGAAAUGUCAAGGUCAAAAAAGUCUUGGAAAAAAUGAGUAGUAUUUCUGUACCUGCUGAGGGUUAGGUGCUUGGAUGUUAUAUAUCUCUGCAUUCCCACAGUAAAACCAUGUGUGGUUGGGGAGCUUUUCCUUUUUUAACCUCUCUGGGUGGUUGAGGAAUUGGAGGCUCAGAGAGGAGAAGUGACACAGCCCAAGGUGACGCCACCAGGAGCUGAACUUGAAAGCCAAGCCAAGUCCGUCUGACCAUCAAGCGUUGCUCCUAUAAUCAUACUACCUUGCCUUCUGCCUUUGUAAACAUGAGGUGACACAUCAAGCUAGGGCUAUUAAAAUACCCAGAAGCACUUUUCUUCCAAAUAACUCACAAUAUCUUGUCUUUGGGAAGUAUUCAAUAGGUUUAUUUCAGUAAAAGAUACACCAUUGCCAUGGUUUUAGGGAGUGAUUCUGAAUUUUAUGUUACUGAUUAAGAAAGAUGGUUAAUGGAACCUGUUUCCUUAAGAAAUUUACAUCAUAUAUUAGUAAGCUGUUGCUGUGUAGCAAAUCACACCAACACUUAGUGCCUUGAAGUAACAACAUGUAUUAUCUCACAAUUUCUGUAGGUGUGAAAACUGGACAUCAUUUAGCUGGGUCCUGUGCUUCAGGGUAUCUCACAGGCAGCACACAAGGCUUCAUCUGGGCUAUACUCAUCAGAAGGCUGGAUUGGGGAAGAUCUGCUUCCAAGUUUACUUACAUGGUUGUUGGUGGGAUUCAGUUCCUGGUAGGCUGCCAGCUUUAGCUCCUCAUUUCCUGAUGGCUGGAGGGUUCCCUCAGUUCCUUUCCAUGUGGGCCUCUCCAGCAUGGCUGCUUGCUUCAUCAAAGUGUACAAGAAGGGAGACAGCAAUAGGAACAUGUCAGCAAGAUGGAAUCCACAGUCUUUUUAAAGCUAACCAUGGAAGUGAUAUUCCAUCACUUUUGGUGUAUUCUGUUUGUUAGGAACAAGACACUAGGUCCAGCCCACCACUCAAGGUAUGGGAUUACACACGGCAUGAAUACUAUGGGGUGGGGAUCACUGGAAAUUAUGUCAGCAGCUAUCUGUCACACAUGAGAGAAGUGGAGAUGGUAGUCAUAAUAAUAGUCAUCAUCAUCAUAAUAAUAAGGCUGGUGAGGAUAGCCAGCAUUUAUUGGGUGUUCUUGAUGCAUCAGGCACUGGGCUAAAUCCCUUCUAUGCAUUGUCUCCUUUAAUCUCCUCAUCACUCUCAUUAACUUCCCUGAGUUACUACAGCAAAGAGAUUAGGACCAGACUCUGUUGUUUCCACUCCGAAGUCCAUCCCUUUACAUGAUGCAGAUCAUUGAUAAGAAUCCACUGAGCUGCUGAGGCUCCAGGAAAGACCUGAUUGAGAGAGGAGUCUGAUAAACGAAGCUGAACUCACUGCUCCUCAGAAAACUGCAAAUGAACACAACCAGAAGCCAUUUCUUACCCAUCAGAUUGGAAAAGAAAAUUGUCCGUAGGUCAAAGCAAGUCACACAGUUGUGCCCAAAGUCAAGGUGAAGAGAGUGCACUCUGAGGGUCAUGGCAAGGGUCAAGGAGUUGUAUAAUAGGUCCCCUGCAAUCUGGACGGUGCAGAGCUUACCUGCCUCUGAAGGUAAGCCUCACCUCUUUCUUCUUCUCUUUUGGUACUUCUGCUAUAGCCAUGCGUGUUCCCUGGACAUGCUACAUAUUGUGCACAUGCUAUUCCACAGACCUAGGAUGCUCCUCCCUGUCUCAUACAUUUGGUCAACCCUAUCGCAUCAUUCCUGACUAAGCAAGGCCUGGCUCAAAAGAUCAGGGAGGACAUCCUUAUUUGUCUUUCUUUUCCUCUCCAUAGGUAUGGGUGGAUCAUGGGGAUUCAGGGCCCCUCUUGGUACUUGGUUCUCUCUUUGGGUAUUCUCUCUUUCUCUCCUCUCACCUCUCUCUUUCUCUCUCUGUCUCUCUCUUGCUUUUGUUCUCAGCCUGCAUUGGCAUGAUCAUUUAAAGAUGAACAUCUGGCAUAGAGAGUUGGCCUUACUUUGGCCCUGAACCCUCACUAGGAUGCUCUGCAGGGUAGAAGGCUCACCUGGG
Molecule: long non-coding RNA, 7412 nt
Filed under: Homo sapiens (human)
Lineage: Eukaryota; Metazoa; Chordata; Mammalia; Primates; Hominidae
Description: HSALNT0097763
Source: RNAcentral